AUUCUGAUCAGCAUCAGAAUCCUGCCAGUGUACAGAACCAUGUCUGUUUUCAUUCCUAUCACCUUGAAUUGGACUCUCUCUGUCAAGCAUGGCCAGGACAGUCUUUUCAAACUGUUCUGCCCAUGAUUGCCAAGAACCUACAGGUGUUUUCUCAGAAUUACUCACCUCUUUACUUACAGACUGUUUUAUGAAAACCUGGUUUGGUCUGGGAAAAUCAUAAUAAG
This is a non-coding RNA of Pelobates cultripes (western spadefoot toad), 224 nucleotides long. NCBI's taxonomy places the organism in Eukaryota, Metazoa, Chordata, Amphibia, Anura, Pelobatidae. The record is from the annotation of a GenBank genome assembly.